AGCAAUGUUGUUUUCCGCAUUUUGCAGAUGAGGACACAGAGACACAGAAAGAUGGAGAAGCUUGCCCAGGGUUUAAGAAUUUAGCUGUCAGGAGACAAGAUGCAAAUCAAGGUUAUUCUACCUGUUAAUGGUUAUCUGGAAAGAGAUUUGUAAAAAUCCUUCAAAGUUUGCCAUAUUCCCAGAUGUUUGGUGUUUUUAUAAAUCAGACAAUAAUUCAUAAGGCAGCAAUUAUGGCCUAAUGCUAUGUCAAUCAAAGGAAUGAUUGGAUCCAAGACCAUCCCUGUCAUACAAUAGGCAACUACAUAAUGCUUGUUAGUAUGAAUUUACUUGAGUUCAUAUUAAAAAUGACUACAGAAUUAUUUAUUUGUCUUAUCCUUCUGUUACUUUGUGGCUUACGUGAUAUUGACUGAGGAUGGAGGAUAUUGAUUAAAAGUUGCCAUUAUUAUGUAUCAAGGCCAGCAAAGCAAUUAGAUCUCAAAUAUCCAGCUUACUCCUUUUUUGGUAAAUUUUUGUGGGUAUACAGUAAGUGUAUACACUUAGGAGGUACGUGAGAUAUUUUGAUACAGGCAUGCAAUGCACAAUAAUCAC
Long non-coding RNA from Sapajus apella (tufted capuchin), 588 nucleotides. RefSeq lists it as uncharacterized. The record is from RefSeq and is a predicted model, not a curated record. The transcript is spliced from 3 exons. Lineage: Eukaryota; Metazoa; Chordata; Mammalia; Primates; Cebidae.